RNAcentral lists this ribosomal RNA (94 nucleotides) under Nicotiana attenuata. Lineage: Eukaryota; Viridiplantae; Streptophyta; Magnoliopsida; Solanales; Solanaceae. The record is from RNAcentral.
CACCGGAUCCCAUCAGAACUCCGAAGUUAAGCGUGCUUGGGCGAGAGUAGUACUAGGAUGGGUGACCCCCUGGGAAAUCCUCGUGUUGCAUCCC